This 701-nucleotide ribosomal RNA is filed under the name Streptomyces sp. 5-157. RNAcentral describes it as "bacterial SSU rRNA". It matches the Rfam family "Bacterial small subunit ribosomal RNA", at positions 63 to 779 of the family's 1533-position model. The record is from RNAcentral. Lineage: Bacteria; Bacillati; Actinomycetota; Actinomycetes; Kitasatosporales; Streptomycetaceae.
CGAACGAUGAACCACUUCGGUGGGGAUUAGUGGCGAACGGGUGAGUAACACGUGGGCAAUCUGCCCCUCACUUCGGGACAAGCCCUGGAAACGGGGUCUAAUACCGGAUGAUACCUCCACUCGCAUGGGUGGGGGUUGAAAGCUCCGGCGGUGAGGGAUGAGCCCGCGGCCUAUCAGCUAGUUGGUGAGGUAACGGCUCACCAAGGCGACGACGGGUAGCCGGCCUGAGAGGGCGACCGGCCACACUGGGACUGAGACACGGCCCAGACUCCUACGGGAGGCAGCAGUGGGGAAUAUUGCACAAUGGGCGCAAGCCUGAUGCAGCGACGCCGCGUGAGGGAUGACGGCCUUCGGGUUGUAAACCUCUUUCAGCAGGGAAGAAGCGCAAGUGACGGUACCUGCAGAAGAAGCGCCGGCUAACUACGUGCCAGCAGCCGCGGUAAUACGUAGGGCGCGAGCGUUGUCCGGAAUUAUUGGGCGUAAAGAGCUCGUAGGCGGCCUGUCGCGUCAAUUGUGAAAGCCCGGGGCUUAACCCCGGGUCUGCAGUCGAUACGGGCAGGCUAGAGUGUGGUAGGGGAGAUCGGAAUUCCUGGUGUAGCGGUGAAAUGCGCAGAUAUCAGGAGGAACACCGGUGGCGAAAGGCGGAUCUCUGGGCCAUUUACUGACGCUGAGGAGCGAAAGCGUGGGGAGCGAACAGGAUU